GGGCCUAUGGCGCAAUGGUUAGCGCAGGGGACUCAUAAUCCCUUGGUUCCAGGUUCGAGUCCUGGUGGGCCCACCA
Molecule: transfer RNA, 76 nt
Filed under: Thiothrix nivea DSM 5205
Lineage: Bacteria; Pseudomonadati; Pseudomonadota; Gammaproteobacteria; Thiotrichales; Thiotrichaceae
Also listed under: 1 other name
Description: tRNA-Met
Rfam family: tRNA
About the family: Transfer RNA (tRNA) molecules are approximately 80 nucleotides in length. Their secondary structure includes four short double-helical elements and three loops (D, anti-codon, and T loops).
Source: RNAcentral